GGAAAACAGAGCAUCCCUUUGCUCAUCCAUUUUUACCUUCCCACCUGCAAUAGUGAGAAGAAGGAAGGGGAAAACCCCCCUCCCCCUACAGCCCACUCAGCCAAUCCCCAGGAGCACUGCCAGCCAGCUCACAAGCCCACUUAGUGGUGAGUGGCACAAACACCCACUCCAAGACCCAGGACGAACCCCAGCCCCGCCCAUGUGGGGAACACAGAUACCCCUGCUCUCAGGCAAAGGAAUCAUCAGUGCUGGAAAGGAAUGGAGAAUCAGUCAGCGAUGACUCAGAAGUCGAUCUUUUUGUCUGCACACUGCUGAAAUGUUUAGAUAAAAAGUGAGACAUCACCUCAAACCAGAUGUUUAUAUGCAUUUCAACCAAGGUUUAGAUAUUUGGAAAUGCUGGGUGGAUAUGACAUUUCAGUAUCCCUUCAAAGACCAACACAUGGAAGCCAAGAAAGGCUUUCUUUCUAGGGCCUUAUGAAGAUAGAUUAAGAGAUAAGCUUGGCUAGGUUCAAAACCACAACUCAUGUGGCUACUGAAAUACCCAAGAAAAAAUUGUUUUCCUAAGUUAUAAGAGGGACUGAAUGUUCUUGUCCCCCCAGAGUUCCUAUGUUGAAAUCAAAUCCCCAAGGUAAUGAAAUUUGGAAGUGGGGCAUUUGGGAGGUGAUUAGUCACAAGGGUGGAGCCCUUGUGAGUGUCGUGAAUGGGAUUAGUGCCCGCUUAAGAAGAGGCCGGAGAGCCAGCUCCAUCUCUCUCCACCCACUGAGGACACGUGGAGAGGUAGGCAGUCUGCAGCCUGGAAGGAGCACCUCACCAGGUCCCAGCCAUGCUGGUCCUCUGAUUUCGGACUUCCAGCUUCCAGAACUUGAAUGCCAGUGAGAUGAAACCAAUAAACUUUGACCAAAGGAAGAAAUCUGAAUUCUAAUCCAAGGAGCAUGGAGAGAGGCACUUUGAGGUUUUCCAAGCUCUCGUCCUAUCUAUGCUUUGGGCGCUGAACAGGGAGGGGACCGUGAUGCCAUGCAUGGCCAACAGCAACGGAUGCCAAGCAAGGCUCAUGGCAUAAGACAGACUCGAGGAACUAAGCAGUGGUCACAGGCAGAGGGAGUUAGCAGUGGAGCUGACUGCAUUGGAAAGCCUUGGGAAAACAGCACGGAAAAUAACAGGCGGCCGGAGCCACGGCCAGUGAAGAGGGAGCCAAGAGCAUUUCGGCAUUGCAGAGUGGAAUGAAGCCUCUUUAGAGAUCAAAGAAAUCUCAGCUCCCGAGA
RNAcentral lists this long non-coding RNA (1262 nucleotides) under Homo sapiens (human). Its description in RNAcentral is "HSALNT0304695". Lineage: Eukaryota; Metazoa; Chordata; Mammalia; Primates; Hominidae. The record is from RNAcentral.